Molecule: ribosomal RNA, 422 nt
Filed under: uncultured bacterium
Lineage: Bacteria
Description: bacterial SSU rRNA
Rfam family: Bacterial small subunit ribosomal RNA
Source: RNAcentral
UGAGGAAUAUUGGUCAAUGGGCGGAAGCCUGAACCAGCCAUGCCGCGUGCGGGAAGAAGGCCCUACGGGUUGUAAACCGCUUUUCCCCGGGAAGAAUAACCCCGACGCGUCGGGGGAUGCCGGUACCGGGGGAAUAAGGAUCGGCUAACUCCGUGCCAGCAGCCGCGGUAAUACGGAGGAUCCGAGCGUUAUCCGGAUUUAUUGGGUUUAAAGGGUGCGUAGGUGGUUUGAUAAGUCAGCGGUGAAAGUUUGCAGCUUAACUGUAAAAAUGCCGUUGAAACUGGCGUACUUGAGUGUAAAUGAGGUAGGCGGAAUGCGUGGUGUAGCGGUGAAAUGCAUAGAUAUCGCGCAGAACUCCGAUUGCGAAGGCAGCUUACUAAGCUACAACUGACACUGAAGCACGAAAGCGUGGGGAUCAAACA